AACUAACAAGGAUUCCCCUAGUAACUGCGAGUGAAGCGGGAAAAGCUCAAAUUUAAAAUCUGGCAGUCUUUGGCUGUCCCGAGUUGUAAUCUAGAGAAGUAUUAUCCGCGCUGGACCGUGUACAAGUCUCCUGGAAUGGAGCGUCAUAGAGGGUGAGAAUCCCGUCUUUGACACGGACUGCCAGGGCUUUGUGAUGUGCUCUCAAAGAGUCGAGUUGUUUGGGAAUGCAGCUCAAAAUGGGUGGUAAAUUCCAUCUAAAGCUAAAUAUUGGCGAGAGACCGAUAGCGAACAAGUACCGUGAGGGAAAGAUGAAAAGAACUUUGGAAAGAGAGUUAAACAGUACGUGAAAUUGCUGAAAGGGAAACGCUUGAAGUCAGUCAUGUUGGCCAGGGAUCAACCUUGCUUUAUUUUUUGCUUGGCUUACUUUCUGGUCAAUGGGUCAGCAUCAAUUUUGACUGGUGGAGAAAGUUCAAGGGAAUGUGGCAUCUUCGGAUGUGUUAUAGCCUUUGUUCGCAUACAUUGGUUGGGAUUGAGGAACUCAGCACGCCGCAAGGCCGGGUUUUUAACCACGUACGUGCUUAGGAUGCUGGCAUAAUGGCUUUAAUCGACCCGUCUUGAAACACGGACCAAGGAGUCUAACAUGCCUGCGAGUGUUUGGGUGAAAAACCCGAGUGCGUAAUGAAAGUGAAAGUUGAGAUCCCUGUCGUAGGGAGCAUUGACGCCCGGAUCUGACCUUUUGUGACGAUUCUGCGGUAGAGCAUGCAUGUUGGGACCCGAAAGAUGGUGAACUAUGCCUGAAUAGGGUGAAGCCAGAGGAAACUCUGGUGGAGGCUCGUAGCGAUUCUGACGUGCAAAUCGAUCGUCAAAUUUGGGUAUAGGGGCGAAAGACUAAUCGAACCAUCU
RNAcentral lists this ribosomal RNA (903 nucleotides) under Laccaria ohiensis. RNAcentral describes it as "partial large subunit ribosomal RNA". It matches the Rfam family "Eukaryotic large subunit ribosomal RNA", at positions 63 to 945 of the family's 3401-position model. The record is from RNAcentral. Lineage: Eukaryota; Fungi; Basidiomycota; Agaricomycetes; Agaricales; Hydnangiaceae.